AUUCCACGUUAUAUGGAUUUGUAUAUUUAUUGAUGGUAUAUUGGAAAUGAAUGAUGAUCUUCUACUUUUUAAGUAGUUAAGCGUGCAAAAUAAUCUGUCAAUCCACUGAAUCUAUCUAUGUGGAGAAACUCUAUGUCUGCAAACCUGACGAUUUUCUUUAUACUUGGAUUAAUACUAAUCAUAUAUAACGUGUAUUUGCAUUUGCUAUUAAAUUGGAU
This 218-nucleotide small RNA is filed under the name Cryptosporidium parvum. The record is from RNAcentral. Lineage: Eukaryota; Apicomplexa; Conoidasida; Eucoccidiorida; Cryptosporidiidae.